UUUUAAUUGAAGGCUUGUAUGAAAGGUUGGACAAGGGAUAAGCUGUCUUUAUUUUCUUUUUGAAGUUGUCUUUUAAGUGAAAAGACUUAAAUAUAUUUAAGGGACGAUAAGACCCUAUAAAUCUUUAUAUUAAUAUAUUUUUAUUUUAAUUUUUAAUGUUUAUAAAAAUGGGAAUAUAUAAUAUUAUAUUGGGGUGAUAAGAAUAUAAAGUAAACUGUUCUAGUAAUAAAACAAAGUUGUUUGGAAAAUAGUAGAUCCUUUUUUUAGAUUAUAAGUUUAAGUUACUUUAGGGAUAACAGCGUUAUUUUUUUUGAGAGUUCUAAUCGAAGAAAAAGUUUGCGACCUCGAUGUUGAAUUAAAAUUUCUUUGUGGGGUAGUGGCUACAAGAGAGAGUCUGUUCGACUUUUAAAAUUUUACGUGAUCU
RNAcentral lists this ribosomal RNA (424 nucleotides) under Galathea squamea. RNAcentral's name for it is "partial 16S ribosomal RNA". The stretch from base 292 to 424 matches the Rfam family "Bacterial large subunit ribosomal RNA", at positions 2473 to 2606 of the family's 2925-position model. The record is from RNAcentral. Lineage: Eukaryota; Metazoa; Arthropoda; Malacostraca; Decapoda; Galatheidae.